GGGGCGGGCGCGCGGCCGGCGGGUACCGCGGUCCCGGGGGCCCUCUGCAUGCCCGCCGGAUUCUAGCGCCCUGCCCUCGCGGAGCGCACGGUCUAGUGAAUUAGAGGGAAGCCCGGGAGUGAGCAUCAUGUUUAUUGAGCCAACAUUUAUCUCGGGGCGAGGUAUUUCUGUUUCCAGAAGACCCGUUGACCUGUGCGUGGGCGGCCUCCCUCUUACGCUAGGUGAGACCUUGGAUGUUUUGCCCAGGCUGUAAGACCUGGCAAGCAGAGGGCCCUCGGGAAAUGUUUGUUGAGUGAAUGCACGAUGAAACGGAGAAGCCCACUCGAAGAUGUACACACACGUGACAACAGAGCAGAGGCUGAAGAGAUGCGUCUACAGGCCAACGCGCGCCGUGAUUGCUGGUGGCACGGGAAACAGAGAAAGGCACGUGUGGAACAGAUUCUCCCUUCGUGCGUUCAGAGCCCUCCUGACACCUUGACUUUGGAUUUCUGGCCUCCAGAACCAUGAGGGAAUACAUUUCUGUUGCCUUAAGCCACCCAGUCUGUGGUCAUUGGCUGCGGCAGCCCUCGGAGACUCACGCAGGUGGAGGUACUGAGCAGGACAGAGCCCUGAGCACAUGAAAUCCCACGGCCUGUCACUCUUGGGUCUGGGAACCACCUUCAGAGCCAGCCGAGGGUCCUGGGACUGCUGGGUGUCAUUCCCGGACCCAGGCGUGGGAGGCAGCCCCGUACCCGCUCUGGGCUUCAGUUGCUCAGCCGAGAGAGGGUUCUUCCACUUACACCACCACCCUCCCCCCACCCAACUGGGAACAGAACCAGCACCCGCCUUCCUGGCCUCUCCUGGCCAUCUCUGGAGCCUGGGCUCUUUCCCUCAGCAAGCAGCCAGGCUAGGACCCCACCAUCCCCAGCUGCAUCUCAGAGGCGCCGUCUGGUCUCCAACAUCCCUCAAAAGCUAGUGUCCCUGCCCAGUCCUCCUCUCCACCUCCGUUUGCUUCUCUAGGGACUGGCCACCUCCCAGCCUGACGCCAGCUCCAAGAGGGCAGGCCGCUGUCUGCAUCGUUCCCCGCCGUGUCCCCAGCGCCUGGCACAGGGAAGACACUCGGUCCAUGUGUGCUGAGUGAGGGAACAAACACACCAAUGAGCCCAUUCCAGAAGCCUGGGAUUGGGGGUGUGGAGGGAUCCUCGUGGAGACCCGAGGAACUCAGGGUUUCUGUGGAUUCAAGCGGGGGGUUGCCCUUCACCUCAAAGCCAGGCUGCGGUGGGGGGGGGCGGUUAUCGUGCAGGCCCCCCACGCCCACCUCCACCCAAACUGGAGGCUCCGGGAAACUUGAAAGAAAACAUCGACACAACAAACAGAGGAAGCGCAGGAGACUUGGGGCCUGCAGACUUUCUCGUGUUGGCUGAGCCCGACGGGCCCGCACUCUCGGCUUGGCAGGGUUCCUUUGGGCUCACCCUCUGCAGGUGGUGCCUUCUUCACAGGCAUCGGUUGGCGGGGGGGUGGGGGGCAGAGGGCAGUCCAGACAAACCCCGCGUUCGUGUCCUGCACACAUCACACGUCUGUCAGCGACAGGCCCCCCUGGGCCUCAGUUUCUUCAGCUCUAAGAUGGGCGUCACGCUAGCAGCUUCCUUAUAGAGGCUCUGGCGAGGCUGCAGGAGGGCACAGAAAGUGCUGAGGUCGUCCUCACACUGAGUGGGAGCUCGGUAAAUGCAAACUCCUGCAAUUUUCGGGUUUUUGGUGUUUUUUUUUUUACCAACACGCCUCAGUCUCCAGCCUACACAGCGGCCUGAGGCCAGGUGGGGAGGUGGGGACCUUGGCAGCCCUCCCACCCAGGCUCCUUCAGGGGUUCCCAUUGCCUGGGGGACAGAGUCCCAAACCCCUCUGUUGGAGAUGCCCUCCCGACCCCCAGCCAGUGUGGAAAGGCCCGGCUUGCCCCAGCCAUGUGCCCUCUCAGGGGCCCCCAGCUCUGUGUGGGCCUGGGACCCCGGGCCGUCUGCUGAGACCUAAGGCCCCUCCUCAGACAGCGGUUUCAAACAGUAAAAUGACUAGAAAUGCAAAGGAA
Zalophus californianus (California sea lion) is the source of this 2059-nucleotide long non-coding RNA. RefSeq lists it as uncharacterized. Lineage: Eukaryota; Metazoa; Chordata; Mammalia; Carnivora; Otariidae. The transcript has 3 exons. The record is from RefSeq and is a predicted model, not a curated record.